GAUGAAGAACGCAGCGAAAUGCGAUACGUAGUGUGAAUUGCAGAAUUCCGUGAACCAUCGAAUCUUUGAACGCAAAUUGCGCUCGAGGCCUCGGCUAAGAGCAUGUCUGGCUCCGCGUCGGCUUACUACCCUCAAUCAAUUACCUUGUGAUGAUUGGUUGGAGCUGGCUUUCCGGUGUUCCAAUCAGGUUGCCGGUCAGCUGAAAAACAUUCACGCUGUGGAAGUCGCUUUCCCUUCAAAAAGGAAAGCCGAGUUCCGAUUUGGUAGGUGACCUUUGCCGGUUGCAUGCCUUCGUUGCUCGUUUUGGCUUUCAUGAUAGCGUGUGCAGGACGCCAUUUUGGCUUUCGACCUGAGCUCAGGCAAGAACACCCGCUGAACUUAAGCAUAUCAAUAAGCGGAGGA
Molecule: unclassified non-coding RNA, 402 nt
Filed under: soil metagenome
Description: partial contains 5.8S ribosomal RNA, internal transcribed spacer 2, and large subunit ribosomal RNA
Rfam family: 5.8S ribosomal RNA (bases 1-120)
Source: RNAcentral